AGCCGGAAUAGCUCAGUUGGUAGAGCAGAGGACCUGAAAAUC
Molecule: transfer RNA, 42 nt
Filed under: Rhynchostegium aquaticum
Lineage: Eukaryota; Viridiplantae; Streptophyta; Bryopsida; Hypnales; Brachytheciaceae
Description: partial transfer RNA-Phe
Source: RNAcentral